Molecule: unclassified non-coding RNA, 220 nt
Filed under: Glomeraceae sp.
Lineage: Eukaryota; Fungi; Glomeromycota; Glomeromycetes; Glomerales; Glomeraceae
Description: partial contains 5.8S ribosomal RNA and internal transcribed spacer 2
Rfam family: 5.8S ribosomal RNA (bases 1-71)
Source: RNAcentral
GUGAAUCAUCAAAUUUUUGAACGCAAAUUGCACUCUCGGGUAUUCCGGAGAUAAUGCCUGUUUGAGGGUCGUUUUAAAUAAAAAUCGGUGUGUUUGCUGCCUUUCUGGUUGAGGCACCGGAUUUGGUUGGCCUUGCCUUGGGUUAAGGGACCUAAAAUUUUGCAUGAUUUUUUUCGAACGUAUUUAAAUGAUUUUACUUACUUUUGCGAUUUCGAAUACU